AAAAGAAAGAGAAUAUCUUUUAACGUUAGAGGCUUUAUUGAAGAAAAAUCUAACAGAGAUCAAAGAUGAGAUAAAUAAUUUUUUUAUUAGGAGUAGAACUAUAUAAAUUUUUUUUAAUUAUAUUUUUUUCUAAAAUUGUACAUGAAUUUUUUUUUUUUGGGAAAACUUCAAAAACCCCCCCUGUGGUUUCGUGCAUUCUCACUUUGCUACCCUGUGGUUUAAAACGUAUCAAUUUACUCCCCUGUGGUUUCAUUUUUAUCUUUUCGGAAGCUUUUUCGUUAAUAUUUCGUUAAAUUAUAUACAAAAAACUUCAAAUAACCAUCUAUAUUUAUCGAAUAGUCACUUUAGUAUCCUUUAAUUUUAACUUUGUCACN
This 374-nucleotide long non-coding RNA is filed under the name Ananas comosus (pineapple). RNAcentral's name for it is "long non-coding RNA (ACOM_LNC031238)". The record is from RNAcentral. Lineage: Eukaryota; Viridiplantae; Streptophyta; Magnoliopsida; Poales; Bromeliaceae.